This 125-nucleotide small RNA is filed under the name Marmota monax (woodchuck). The record is from RNAcentral. Lineage: Eukaryota; Metazoa; Chordata; Mammalia; Rodentia; Sciuridae.
GCUGGGCAUGGUUGUGCAUGCCUGUAAUCCCAGUGGCUCAGGAGACUGAGGCAAGAGGAUCGUGAGUUCAAAGCCAGCCUCAGCAAUGGCAAGAUGCUAAGCAGCUCAAUGAGACCCUGUCUCUA